This 182-nucleotide ribosomal RNA is filed under the name Lysinibacillus sphaericus. RNAcentral describes it as "partial 16S ribosomal RNA". It matches the Rfam family "Bacterial small subunit ribosomal RNA", at positions 1354 to 1533 of the family's 1533-position model. Lineage: Bacteria; Bacillati; Bacillota; Bacilli; Caryophanales; Bacillaceae. The record is from RNAcentral.
AUGCCGCGGUGAAUACGUUCCCGGGCCUUGUACACACCGCCCGUCACACCACGAGAGUUUGUAACACCCGAAGUCGGUGAGGUAACCUUUUAGAGCCAGCCGCCGAAGGUGGGAUAGAUGAUUGGGGUGAAGUCGUAACAAGGUAGCCGUAUCGGAAGGUGCGGCUGGAUCACCUCCUUUCU